RNAcentral lists this ribosomal RNA (474 nucleotides) under uncultured bacterium. RNAcentral describes it as "SSU rRNA". It matches the Rfam family "Bacterial small subunit ribosomal RNA", at positions 26 to 518 of the family's 1533-position model. The record is from RNAcentral.
AGGACGAACGCUGGCGGCGUGCUUAACACAUGCAAGUCGAGCGGAAAGGCCCUUCGGGGUACUCGAGCGGCGAACGGGUGAGUAACACGUGGGCAACCUGCCCUUAGCUCUGGGAUAGCUCCGGGAAACCGGAAUUAAUACCGGAUAUGACCUAGGCCGACAUCGGCCGUGGUGGAAAGUUUUUCGGCUAGGGAUGGACUCGCGGCCUAUCAGCUAGUUGGUGGGGUAAUGGCCUACCAAGGCGACGACGGGUAGCCGGCCUGAGAGGGCGACCGGCCACACUGGGACUGAGACACGGCCCAGACUCCUACGGGAGGCAGCAGUGGGGAAUCUUGCGCAAUGGGCGAAAGCCUGACGCAGCGACGCCGCGUGGGGGAUGAAGGCCUUCGGGUUGUAAACCCCUUUCAGCAGGGACGAAGCGAAAGUGACGGUACCUGCAGAAGAAGCGCCGGCUAACUACGUGCCAGCAGCCGC